AGAGUUUGAUCAUGGCUCAGAGCGAACGCUGGCGGCAGGCUUAACACAUGCAAGUCGAACGGGCACUUCGGUGUCAGUGGCAGACGGGUGAGUAACACGUGGGAACGUACCCUUCGGUUCGGAACAACUCAGGGAAACUUGAGCUAAUACCGGAUACGCCCUUCGGGGGAAAGAUUUAUCGCUGAAGGAUCGGCCCGCGUCUGAUUAGCUAGUUGGUGAGGUAAUGGCUCACCAAGGCGACGAUCAGUAGCUGGUCUGAGAGGAUGAUCAGCCACACUGGGACUGAGACACGGCCCAGACUCCUACGGGAGGCAGCAGUGGGGAAUAUUGGACAAUGGGCGCAAGCCUGAUCCAGCCAUGCCGCGUGUGUGAUGAAGGCCUUAGGGUUGUAAAGCACUUUCGUCCGGGACGAUAAUGACGGUACCGGAAGAAGAAGCCCCGGCUAACUUCGUGCCAGCAGCCGCGGUAAUACGAAGGGGGCUAGCGUUGCUCGGAAUCACUGGGCGUAAAGGGCGCGUAGGCGGCCAUUCAAGUCAGAGGUGAAAGCCCAAGGCUCAACCUUGGAAUUGCCUUUGAUACUGUUUGGCUUGAGACCGGAAGAGGUUAGUGGAACUGCGAGUGUAGAGGUGAAAUUCGUAGAUAUUCGCAAGAACACCAGUGGCGAAGGCGGCUAACUGGUCCGGUUCUGACGCUGAGGCGCGAAAGCGUGGGGAGCAAACAGGAUUAGAUACCCUAGUAGUCC
Molecule: ribosomal RNA, 742 nt
Filed under: uncultured bacterium
Lineage: Bacteria
Description: bacterial SSU rRNA
Rfam family: Bacterial small subunit ribosomal RNA
Source: RNAcentral